Molecule: ribosomal RNA, 435 nt
Filed under: uncultured bacterium
Lineage: Bacteria
Description: bacterial SSU rRNA
Rfam family: Bacterial small subunit ribosomal RNA
Source: RNAcentral
AGUGAACGCUGGCGGCAGGCCUAACACAUGCAAGUCGAGCGGCAGCGCGUCCGACCACCCUCGGGUGGUCGGAUGGCGGCGAGCGGCGGACGGGUGAGGAAUGCAUCGGAAUCUGCCUCGUUGUGGGGGAUAACGUAGGGAAACUUACGCUAAUACCGCAUACGACCUACGGGUGAAAGUGGGGGACCUUCGGGCCUCACGCGAUGAGAUGAGCCGAUGCCGGAUUAGCUAGUUGGCGGGGUAAAGGCCCACCAAGGCGACGAUCCGUAGCUGGUCUGAGAGGAUGAUCAGCCACACUGGAACUGAGACACGGUCCAGACUCCUACGGGAGGCAGCAGUGGGGAAUUUUGGACAAUGGGGGCAACCCUGAUCCAGCCAUGCCGCGUGAGUGAAGAAGGCCUGGGUUGUAAGUACGUCUUUCUAGACGGAACGAAA